AUGUUAUUUGCUUGCAGAACUCUCGCAGGCCUCGUUGGAACAGAUGGGGAUUUGGUGUGUGACAAGGUUUUGGCUGCUGAACUAAACCUAAGGCCAUGGUGCAGGGCCCCCCUUGGCGUGCUCGCGGCUCAUCCCUGGCGGUGCAGGCGGGCGCGUGAUCUUUGCUCCCGGUGGGAACGCUUUCAUCAGGGUGCGCGGCCCAUUAGCCAGCCCUUAUGCUCAGAUCAUUUGCUGAACAACCCAUCGUGUUCCAUAACCUGUUCAGCUGCCCUACGUCGCCCAUUCUUGGAAACCUUCGAAAGUGAGAAUGUCCCUCCUGCCAGGCUCUGGAAAUCACCCCAGAAAGUGUGUGCCCAGCUGUAUGUUUGGGCAAUGGAAAUGUGAAAUCGUAAGCUACUCAUGGGGCACCAUGAAGGCAAGCAGCGUGGAGAUGUGAUGUGGGGGUCCUGUUGGGGCAGCGUCAGACCCGGCCCUAUGUUUGUGGGGUGCUUGGCCCCACCAGGAGCAGCACCCGGUGCCGCAGUCGGAUCCCAGCAGGGUUUGUGGUCGCUGCGAGUGCCCAUGGCAGCACAGCCGCCUGGACACACGCCCAAGGGCUACUGCGAGGACAUUUUGAAGAUGGCAAGGACCGCCCCGCCAUGGAUGUGGUUUAGCUCAACAAAGCCCGCUUUAAAAAAA
This 678-nucleotide long non-coding RNA is filed under the name Anas platyrhynchos platyrhynchos (common mallard). RNAcentral's name for it is "lncRNA (ENSAPLG00000025737.1)". Lineage: Eukaryota; Metazoa; Chordata; Aves; Anseriformes; Anatidae. The record is from RNAcentral.